Molecule: long non-coding RNA, 1152 nt
Organism: Haemorhous mexicanus (house finch)
Lineage: Eukaryota; Metazoa; Chordata; Aves; Passeriformes; Fringillidae
Exons: 2
Source: RefSeq, a predicted model, not a curated record
UUCCAUCUAUGUGAACCCGGAGAGAAGGAGAACGACUCGCCAGGGUUAAACCUCCAACUCCGGUCACUGUAGUGGCUGCUGGUUGCAAGGGCCAGUGUUGAGGCCAACAACUAGGGCUGAUAAUGCUAGAGUCCGCUCCAGUGUCUAACAAGCCUGAGAAUGACCUUUUCUGUCCUUGAAAUUCCACUUCCACUCUUUUCCUGGGUCUCUCAGAAAGAUUCAGAGUCAGCAAGGUGAGACCUCCAGUGGACCCAAAACUCUUUUCACCCCUCUCUUGUCCUUUUAUUGUUUGUAAUCCCUUAGUCAUUUGCUCCAGUGGCACCAAUUGAGCAAUUCUCUGUCCUUUAUUAAUUUGGCGUGGUGGGAAAGGUGUAUGCACCAUAACCAUAAUUUCUCCUGUAUAAUCUGCAUCAAUGACACCAGGUAAAACAAAUAAUCCAAGCAUAGACGCAGAUGACCUCCCUAAGAGCAAAGCACCCACCGUUCGACCCUGUAUAACAACAGGUCCCUGAAUCCCCGUCGGGAUUUUUUGUGGGUGUGGAGUCAUCAGUGUAACCUCUACUGCCGCUGCCACGUCCAAGCUGAGGCUUCCUGUGGUGGCGGGUUGGAGACAGGGGAGGUUGGUAGUGCUGCAGCGACGCCUUGUGUCGGAGCGCGGCCACUGCAAUUCGCGCUCCUGGAGGAGUUUCCCGACUUCCGCCGACAAGCGCCUGUAUUGUGAGUAUCCGAGCGGCAUUUCUGACACCAGAUCCCUGUUGCUUGGCAUUCCCGACGCAUGUGACCCAUGCCUCCGCAUCGGUAACAUCUCAUCCGAUUUCCUGUCGGAGCCGGGCCCCUCAAGGUCUCGGCAGCACGUAUCGGCCAGGCUCGUCUGUACGGACACCCAGGGCACGGCGCGUCUUAACUCUUCUUUUUCGCGCUUUUUUGCUGUCCCGGCUGCUUCGGGACCCGACCCGGUCGUCGCUCGUCCGUGGUGUCUGGCAAGGAUCACGUCGUAGGGGUCACCAUUUGACGGAGUCGACGGGAGACAAGCACAUCCGAUGAUGAUCAACAAGUCUCAAUUUAUUGAUUUAACAUGCGUGCUCUUAUAACAGUGAUAAUAAGGCUCAUACAUAUUGCAAAACUAAAGCUCACUAUUGGUUCGCUAUAAAA